This 374-nucleotide ribosomal RNA is filed under the name uncultured bacterium. RNAcentral describes it as "bacterial SSU rRNA". It matches the Rfam family "Bacterial small subunit ribosomal RNA", at positions 524 to 898 of the family's 1533-position model. The record is from RNAcentral.
UACGAAUGGAGCGAGCGUUGUUCGGAAUCACUGGGCGUAAAGCGUGCGCAGGCGGUCUUGAAAGUCAGGAGUGAAAUCCCAGGGCUUAACCCUGGAAUUGCUCUUGAAACUCCAAGACUGGAGUACUGGAGAGGUUGGCGGAAUUCCGAGUGUAGCAGUGAAAUGCGUAGAUAUUCGGAGGAACACCGAUGGCGUAGGCAGCCAACUGGACAGUUACUGACGCUCAUGCACGAAAGCGUGGGGAUCAAACAGGAUUAGAUACCCUGGUAGUCCACGCCCUAAACGAUGUGUGCUAGUUGUCGGGCCCUUUAGGGUUCGGUGACGCAGCUAACGCUUUAAGCACACCGCCUGGGGAGUACGGUCGCAAGAUUAAA